UACGAACUGUGCGAACGUUAUUCGGAAUCACUGGGCUUAAAGGGUGCGUAGGCGGCUAAUUAAGUCAGCGGUGAAAUUCCACAGCUCAACUGUGGAACUGCCAUUGAUACUGGUUGGCUUGAGUACAGAUGAGGUAGGCGGAAUUGACAGUGUAGCGGUGAAAUGCUUAGAUAUUGUCAAGAACACCUAUUGCGAAGGCAGCUUACUAAGCUGUAACUGACGCUGAGGCACGAAAGCGUGGGGAUCAAACAGG
This 253-nucleotide ribosomal RNA is filed under the name uncultured bacterium. RNAcentral's name for it is "partial 16S ribosomal RNA". It matches the Rfam family "Bacterial small subunit ribosomal RNA", at positions 524 to 776 of the family's 1533-position model. The record is from RNAcentral.